This 71-nucleotide transfer RNA is filed under the name Stegodyphus mimosarum. It matches the Rfam family "tRNA". Rfam says of the family: Transfer RNA (tRNA) molecules are approximately 80 nucleotides in length. Lineage: Eukaryota; Metazoa; Arthropoda; Arachnida; Araneae; Eresidae. The record is from Rfam by way of RNAcentral.
GCCUUUGUGGUGUAACGGUAACACACUCGGCGUGUAUUCGAGAGGUCCAGGUUCGAGUCCCGGCGAGGGCA